Zootermopsis nevadensis is the source of this 3025-nucleotide non-coding RNA. The record is from RefSeq and is a predicted model, not a curated record. NCBI's taxonomy places the organism in Eukaryota, Metazoa, Arthropoda, Insecta, Blattodea, Termopsidae.
GAAACGUCAGUAAACUUCUACCAGACUACAUGGUGCAACAACCUAGAAGACAGCCAUCUUCAGACUCACAGCCGUGAAAACCUCAAAUCCUACAUCUUAUGGCACCUUUCAUUUUGUAUUUUUUUCCAUUAUACUUGCAGUAAACAAUAGAAGGUACAGUCCACGACUGUAAUCUAGUGACUUGUGGGGUGAAGGAUGAAGAAGGAAAGAUAGCGUCUGCCUUUAACGAUCCUCUUGAGAUACUGUUGAGAUCAACAACAAGCAUAUUGGACUUUGAAAUGAGAUUCUGUUAAAGCUAUAUGCUAUGCAUUCAGAAUUAUGUAGAAUAUGAAAUUCCUUAUCUUAUGUUUAAACUAUUUGCCAUGUUUGUAUACAUCUUGUAAGGGACUGCGGCUACACAUAUUGACAAAAAUGAUUAAUUUCCGUUUUAUCUUUAGUGCAAGCCUAAAUCACUAACUUUAUUUUAUGUAAGCCAGUGUCACUCUUCGCAUGGUAGACUAUGUAUAGGGAGUCUAGCAUAUACUCAGAAACAAUAUUCCAUUCUUUUAGGUGGAGUCACACGGAUGGACAGUUCCACUUGGUCGGAUAAUGUGCAGGCAGGUGAAAAAGAUGAAACCAUCCGUGACAUGGUCUGACCUGACUACAACCCUUUAGUGCUUUCUUUAGAGAGCCAAACACCAAGAAAUCACACAGUGACAAGUCUGGGCUAUGUGGAGGUUGGUCUAACACCUUUUACUUAAUGUUUCUUGGUACAGUGCAGGCCACAUGGUGAUGGGUGCUAUCAUGAAACAUUAUGACACCUCUUGUUGGCACUAAGGAACUGAGGGAUAGCUCAUUGGUCAUAUUCAGCACCUAGAAAGCCAGAUUUUAAUGGUGCCACACUUUCUGUUUGCUGCAGUGCACCAGUUCUGUUUCAGUGGUAUUUUCGACUGCUCAUGUGUCGUGCACUCAGUUGUUUGGUCACCUGUGACUGACCAUAUUCACUAGCAGUGAUACAAAUGUGUUACAUUUGAACAACCCUUACAAGAUUCUGACAGUUUGACAUACUGCUAUUAUCAAUAUUUGUAAUGUUGAACUGCAUUUCCCAAAAUUUGUUUUCAAAUGACAUAUAUUUUGUAAUUCCUGUGUGUCCAGUAUAUUUAAAAUGGUUUCACUGAAAGCAAUACUGCCCUCAGAUUUCUUGUUAAAUAGUAAUGGUGUAGCAUAUCACAGACCAGACCCAUUGAGAUUGAACAAAGAGUUUAAUUGACCAUCAUUCUAUUAACAGAUUGAGUACUUUUGUCUGGUACUAUUCUUAGACAUUUCUGUGCAAGUAUUCAAGUAAAGAAAUUUGCAAGGUGGAGGGGAACAAAGAAGCAUUUCUUUUAUUACCAAAAUAGAUUUAUUGUAGGAUAUCAGAGUGGAAAUGUAUGAAAUUUGAAAUAUGUUUUACUUGUGUCUAUAUGUUUAUUAUGUUACAUGAGGUAGACUGGCUUCUGUACAGUGUAAGUAUUUAAAGAUUUUAUUUUGUAUUGUUUGCAUUUAUUCAGAAAUGUUUAAAUAGUAUACGUAUUAAAAUGAUCCAAUCCUUGAAGGAGAUUCAAAAUAUUAUAGGGCAGAUCGAACUUCCUGUUUUUAAUAUGAGACCAUUUCAAAUUGGAUUAGUGAUACCUGCAUAAAAUUAUUUAGUCUGAGAUGUUUUCAAUACAUAUAUUAUUUGUACAGUAUAUUACAGUUAAUGCAUUGGAUUUAUCGUACGUUUAUUUUUCUUUAAAAAUAUUAUUUAUUGCAUCGUAAUGUUUACUCUUGAUCCCAGAUUAAGUUGAAUUCCAGUAGAAGGAUCAGUCAGGCCAUACUAUGGAUUGUAUAUAGUUAUUCACUUUUAUUCCUGUAAGUGGCAGCUUCUAGUUUUAAAGAUACAUGUCCUGAUUGCAGCAUAUUCAGUAACAUUUCAAGGAGAGGCCUGCAAAUGUUGGAUUUAUCAGAUAAGUUCAAAAUUUGCAGCUGUCUGCUUUAGUAUUCUAUAGAUAUUGUUACUACCCCUUUAAAUAUAAAUCAUAAUAGUGAAUACAUUUCAUUCAGUGAAGUGAUUGUAAAGAAAACAAAAAUGUUUCAUAAGUUAAAAAUGUCACAACCUUGUGGGAUGGUGUACAACCUAUUGAUCCUAGAAUUGGUAUUUUCCAUGUGUUUCUUGAAAUAUAGUUUCAUAGUGACUUCAGUGUAAAGAACUAAUCCCCUCCAGAUCCAUGUUAAGUUAUGUUUUGUGUGCUAUAUUGUUUGUGCUGAAUACAAAUCGUGUAUCCCAUAAAAGUAUCAUGACUUUGGUAAAGAACAGCUGGCAACAAUAUUUUCAGUUUAUUAAUGGUAGAUUGCCCAUCCUGUGAGCAUGACUUUGCAACUUCAGUUUUCAUCCAGGGCAACAAUUUUUCACUCCGCUGAAGUCAGAUAUAACAUAGAAUGUUUUGAAAUUUGAAAAGAGCAAGAUCAGAUCACUUUAAUUCUUGAUGUGCUUAUAAUACUGUGUUGAGUUGAGCCAAACAUGAUGUAAUAGAUACUUUAAAUUCAUGAACAUUGUGUGGAUUUACUGUUAGAAUUAAUCUUUUCUGGAAGGAGUGUUGGUACACAAUUUUUUUUAUUAAAAACCUGUAUUAUACAAAUUUGGUUUUCUGUGAUAAAGUAAAUGAUUAUAAAUAAGAACUUUGCAGAAAAAAAUAGAAUUUGCUCAUUUACAGCCAAACAGUGUGUAAAUUAAGGAAAAUCAAACAAUUCUGAUAACAUUUGGAAGGCAUAAUUAAACUCAGUGGCUUAUACAUAACAUGACUGAAUUGGUGUGAACUUAUGAGAACAGACAGUGAUGCAGUCCUGUUUUUUUCACUACUGUGAAAAGUAUUCAAAUGUUUUUUUAUGUUUAAUUUGCACUCCAGUGCAAAACAUUUAAAGUGUAAAUUUUAUUGCAAAGUGUACAUAACUGCUGAUAAUAAAGGUUUACUAUACUGUAUUAAAUUGUAUAUCACUUGAGCUAAAAAUAAAAUACAGUUAAUGAAUA